Tupaia belangeri chinensis (Chinese tree shrew) is the source of this 857-nucleotide long non-coding RNA. RefSeq lists it as uncharacterized. The transcript is spliced from 3 exons. NCBI's taxonomy places the organism in Eukaryota, Metazoa, Chordata, Mammalia, Scandentia, Tupaiidae. The record is from RefSeq and is a predicted model, not a curated record.
GAAUGAUGGCAAAGUACAACGAGUGGAAAUCAAAACCACUCAUGUCUUUUUUUAUCUGGAGAAUGUUACUCAAAACCAAACUCAAUUCUCAUUCUCCAUUGAACAAGAUGCACCUGUAACCAACGUCAAGCCUGCAUCCAUUCAGCUCUACGAUUACUAUGAAACUGAUGAAUUUGCGUUUGCAGAGUACAACACACCAUGUAAUCAGAUGCCUUUUAAAACCUCCUAGGAUAAUGAAGUGGAAAAGAAGACACUUUGGGACUGGCUAUACAUUUUCUCCGCCAAGCAGGAAGCCUGCACUUCCUAGCUGCAAGUUAAGUUGGCUCCCUUGGUGCAUCAUCAUAGACUAAACCCUUGCUGUCUGAGGACCUUGCCUGGACUCCUCAUAGCCAGAUGCAGCUGGGAAGUGCAAGCUUCCUGGUUCCAAGAGCUACCUCCAACCAAUGGGGAGGAGAAUCCUGGACAAGUGGUCCUGCCUCCUGCCUUCCAGCAAAGAAUUCUGGGAGAUGCUCCAAAUGCUUCCUUCGAAAUCCAUCUCCCAGAAUCUCAUGAAGCAGCCUCAGUGAACAAAUCCUUCCCUAGGCAUUUUUCCUUUCUCGUCACAGUCCACUGAUUUCUCACUCCUAAUUCCUGGAAUCACUCUGAAAUUAAUCAUCUGCACCCAAGCCUUUGACUCAAAUUCUGCUUUCAGGGCAAACCAAGCAUAGACAACAUAUUACAUCAGUUACUAAAUAACUGCAUACAACGUUUUGUUAUGGAUAAAAUAUUCUAAUAUUUUGAUAAUUUAGUUUCGCUAUGUGUUUAUGAAUAAUUUCCCUGAAAGUUGUGGGAAAAAAAAGGUUUUUGUUUAAUUGCCA